This 65-nucleotide transfer RNA is filed under the name Heterocephalus glaber (naked mole-rat). It matches the Rfam family "tRNA". Rfam says of the family: Transfer RNA (tRNA) molecules are approximately 80 nucleotides in length. Lineage: Eukaryota; Metazoa; Chordata; Mammalia; Rodentia; Bathyergidae. The record is from Rfam by way of RNAcentral.
GGUGUAGCUCAGUGGUAGAGUGCUUGCCUCGAAUGCAAAAGGCCCUGGGUUCAAUCCCCAGUACC